RNAcentral lists this ribosomal RNA (576 nucleotides) under uncultured eukaryote. RNAcentral's name for it is "SSU rRNA". It matches the Rfam family "Eukaryotic small subunit ribosomal RNA", at positions 203 to 784 of the family's 1831-position model. The record is from RNAcentral.
UAUUUAUUAGAUAAAAAACCAAUGCCCUUCGGGGCUCCUUGGUGAUUCAUAAUAACUUAACGAAUCGCAUGGCCUUGCGCCGGCGAUGGUUCAUUCAAAUUUCUGCCCUAUCAACUUUCGAUGGUAAGAUAGUGGCUUACCAUGGUCUCAACGGGUAACGGGGAAUUAGGGUUCUAUUCCGGAGAGGGAGCCUGAGAAACGGCUACCACAUCCAAGGAAGGCAGCAGGCGCGCAAAUUACCCAAUCCCGACACGGGGAGGUAGUGACAAUAAAUACUGAUACAGGGCUCUUUUGGGUCUUGUAAUUGGAAUGAGUACAAUUUAAACCUCUUAACGAGGAACAAUUGGAGGGCAAGUCUGGUGCCAGCAGCCGCGGUAAUUCCAGCUCCAAUAGCGUAUAUUAAAGUUGUUGCAGUUAAAAAGCUCGUAGUUGAAACUUGGGCCUGGCUGGCAGGUCCGCCUCACCGCGUGUACUUGUCCGGCCGGGCCUUUCCUUCUGGAGAACCUCAUGCCCUUCACUGGGUGUGUUGGGGAACCAGGACUUUUACUUUGAAAAAAUUAGAGUGUUCAAAGCAGG